RNA transcript from Caretta caretta (loggerhead turtle), 7998 nucleotides. It is a transcript of the gene named FLVCR choline and putative heme transporter 2, with no coding region annotated. Lineage: Eukaryota; Metazoa; Chordata; Testudines; Cheloniidae. The record is from RefSeq and is a predicted model, not a curated record.
UAUUUUCUUAACUGCAGAAGGGAAGGUUUCAUAGGAUUUUUUUUUUAAUCACAAUCCGUGUAAGCAGCUGUUAAAGCUGAGCCCCAGGCUUCACUGCCCUGCAUCGCAAUGGGUCGGGUUGCACUGCCCAUUGCUGUAGAAGUCGUUUUAUUGGUGGGCUGUGUAUCUCUAGCAGUGUCUUGCCAGAGCCUUCCUUUGAACUGCCCCCUUAGCCAGCCUGCAGCCCGCGAUGGACCCCAGGGUGUGACCCUUGGGGCGUGCGCAAUUCCCCCGCGCCUCCGGGAUCAAAGGCCAGGUCCUGUAGGUUGUUUGGACUCUUCCCGGGAGUGUCCGGUGGGGCCCAGCGGGGGCGGGUGAGGGGACCCUGCAGAGCCUGGCGUUGUAGGGGCGGCCUUAGCUGCACGAGCCCCAGCGGGCAGGCUCGGCAUGGUUGCCAUGGUAACUGAGGGACAGCGCGCCUUAGGGAUCAUCUCAGCCAGUCAGCGCGGAGGGGGCGAGGCCCCGUUGGCCAGGUGGCCAAUCACAGCAUCGCUGUGAGAGCAAACUAGCGCGACGCGGCCUGGCGGAAUGGCGUUGUGCUGAGGAGGAGUGAGGGAGCGGGACCAGCCGGGCGCGCUGGGCGGGGCGCGGCGCGGCGCGGCGCGGCGCAGAGACCGGCGACCCCAUAAGGAGCGGGGUGGGGGCCGGCAGGAGCCGGGCACACGAUGCGGGACAGCGCUGCCCUGGGGAAGGGGAGCCCGUGUUGCCCGGCGUUUUCCGGGGGGGCCGUGGUGAGCGGGGGGCCGGAGCCCGGCGAGAAGGGGCUGAUGUAUCCAGAGACGCCUAAGCUCUUGCAGGGGGUGAAGCCGGUGCCUGGGUCAGUGGAAGCCGAGACCCCCAGUGGGUCUGCCCCCGGGGCUCCCCCCGAGGUGCGCCUGUCCCUACGCCGCUGGCCCGUGGUGCUGCUGUUCAGCUGCUACUCGCUCUGCAAUGCCUUCCAGUGGAUCCAGUACGGGAGCAUCAACAACAUCUUCGUGCACUUCUACGGCGUAAGCACCUUCGCCAUCGACUGGCUCUCCAUGUGCUACAUGCUCACCUACAUCCCCCUUCUUUUCCCUGUGGCCUGGCUGCUGGACAAGAGGGGCCUCCGCCUCAUCGCCCUCGCCGGUUCAGCCUUCAACUGUCUAGGCGCCUGGGUGAAGCUGGGCAGCAUGAAGCCGCACCUCUUCCCUGUUACCGUCCUGGGGCAGGUCAUCUGCUCGGUGGCGCAGGUCUUCAUUCUGGGCAUGCCCUCGCGCAUCGCCUCCAUCUGGUUCGGGUCCCAUGAGGUCUCUACUGCCUGCUCCAUCGCUGUCUUUGGGAACCAGCUUGGAAUUGCAGUGGGCUUUGUUCUCCCUCCCGUUCUGGUUCCCAACUUGGAGGACACAGAACAGCUGGCCUACCACAUCAGCAUCAUGUUUUUCAUCAUUGCAGCUGUGGCAACGGUGCUCUUCAUCCUCGUCAUCAUUGUGUUCCGAGAGAAGCCCCCGUUUCCCCCAAGCCGGGCCCAGGCCUUGAUCCAGUUGAAGCCACCUGAGGAAUAUUCCUACGUGCAGUCCAUCCUCAGGCUGCUCCGCAAUACCAAUUUUGUCCUGCUGAUAGUCGCUUAUGGUUUGAACACUGGUUGCUUCUAUGCCCUGUCCACUCUGCUGAACCGCAUGGUGAUCCAGAACUAUCCAGGGGAGGAGGUGAAUGCUGGAAGAAUUGGACUCACCAUUGUAGUGUCUGGCAUGGCUGGAGCUCUGCUUUCUGGCAUCUGGUUGGAUAAAACCAAAACCUACAAGCAGACGACGCUGGCGGUUUACAUCAUGUCUCUGGGGGGCUUGGUGGCCUAUACCUUCACCCUGAGCCUAGGCCACCUCUGGGUGGUCUUUGUGACCGCAGGCAUGCUGGGGUUCUUCAUGACAGGAUACCUACCGCUGGGUUUUGAGUUUGCGGCAGAGUUAACAUACCCAGAGUCAGAAGGAACGUCUUCAGGCCUCCUUAAUGUAUCGGCACAGGUUUUCGGGAUCAUUUUCACCGUUGCCCAAGGGAAGAUCAUCGAUCACUUUGGGACGCAGGCGGGAAACCUCUUUCUUUGCUCCUUCCUACUCCUGGGGACUUUCAUAACUGUGUUCAUUAAGGCCGAUCUCCGGAGACAGCAGGCCAAUCUGGAUGGUGAACAGACAAGACGAGACGUCCACCCAGCGCUUCUGAAGCAGUCAGUGUCCAAGGCUGGCAAAAUGCAUAAAAUAAGCUCCCUGCUGGCUCGAAUUUUACCUUUUUGGAAGACAGUGCCGCCUUCCACCAGAUAAUCUCUAACGGCGCCGAUCUGGAGAGACCAGUGGCUCCAGGAUACCUCGUGGCCACCCUGCUCCGACCGUCAGCCCAGGAAGAGACUCCAGGACAGCAGUCACAUCACGGAUUAUGGAAUGUAGCUUGUAGCCUUAACCCCAUCACUUCCCAUCCCCGCUCAGUAGCUCUCACACAAAGGUAGGAGAAUCACACUAAUCUGCUUAUCUAAUCGCUCACAGGAAUGGCACUGGCACCAAACCAAUGGCACUAGCUGAUGCUGCUCUCCAAGGCAAUGCAACAGCUGGAGUGAUUGGGGUGUUCGGGGUACAGAAUCUGCUCUUGGCCUCUCCAGGAGACAGGGUGGGAAGGAGAAGAGAAGAGAUGGGUCUUGAGCUUGUGGGGUCCUGAGAAGAAUGAGGACUGAAGCUGAGGCUGCUUGGGUAACUGGAGCUUAGGGACAGGUGGGGAGAGUGUUCCAAGGCAAAACUCUUGUCUUGUCACAGCAGGUAGCGAAUUCUACUGUGAGUAAAUGUGCUGGGGAGAAGAAUAUUGUACAGCCUCUUGGCUGAGUAGUUAUUUAAAGUCACCAUCCAGCCUCCUCAGCAGGAGGUUCUGUCUGGGAUUGUGUCGGAGAGCUGGUCCUGAAAACAUAGAGAUAUGAUGCCAAUCAAAUGAAGUAUUAAAGACUUUGGCAAUAAUAGUUGGUGCCUUUUGUUAGAAGAGUAACUGUAAAUCGUAAAGCUCUCUGCUUUUUGCUCUGUAAUUCCAGCCCUUUGCUAGAAGUGGCUUCUCAGCUGCUGCCUAGGGAUGUUUAAUGCUUUGCUGUUCUCUUGCUGUUUGAACCCUCUGCUGUGCCUGGCUGCCCUCCCCAAAACAUUAUCUGUCCUGCUCAUGAUGUUUUAAGGUGUUUUGUGCAUGUAUUUGCUCAGUGGUGUGCAGCAAACAAGCCGAGCUGGCAAGGACCAUGUUCAGGCCUGAGAUAGUAUAGAAUCAUAGACUAUCAGGGUUGGAAGGGAUCUCAGGAGGUCAUCUAAUCCAACCCCCUGCUCAAAGCAGGACCAAUCCCCAACUAAAUCAUCCCAGCCAGGGCUUUGUCAAGCCUGACCUUAAAAAUUAUCUAAGGAAGGAGAUUCCACCACCUCCCUAGGUAACGCAUUCCAGUGUUUCACCACCCUCCUAGUGAAAAAGUUUUUCCUAAUAUCCAACCUAAACCUCCCCCACUGCAACUUGAGACCAUUACUCCUUGUUCUGUCAUCAGCUACCACUGAGAAUAUUGUAUAGAAUAUACAAUAUAGUACUGAGAAUAUAGUAUAUUGGCAACAUUGAGUUGUUGCAUGGUGUGCAGCUGGGAGCAUUAGGUUGGUGUGCUCCAGUGCAAGUGUAGGCAGAGACCGCAGGUGGGUGCAGGUGAGUGUAAGCCGUGAGCUGCAGGUGACCAGAUGUCCCAUUUUACAGGGAAAGUCCCAAUAUUUGGGGCUUUGUCUUAUAUAGGUGCCUCUUACCCCCACCCUUUGUCCCGAUUUUUCACCCUUGCUAUCUGGUCACCCUAUUUCAGCCUGAGUGCUUGUGAGACUCAAGUCCCCUGCAUGCCUCGUCCCUUUCCUGCAAGAGCAUAGGAUAGAAAAGGAGUGGGGCAAAACAUUGGUGCGUCUCAGGAGAUCUGGGUUAAGUACGGUCCUCUUUGUGCUAAUGAAGUGCUGAGCUGCGCACUCCCAUCAUAGGCCUCAUUCCUGACACUAGGUAGAAGUAACCUUGCAGCUGUGCAGCAGUAUCUCACCUUAUCUAUGCACUCCCUAUCCGUGGCCCGGGACCUCCUUGUCAACCUUCUUCUAGCCCUGGCCAAAAUGGCCAUCUACAAGACCAGGGAGAGGAGGUUGGCCGAUGGGGUCUCCUGUGACGGUGGGGCCUAUUUCUGAUCCUCUGUCCGCUCAUGCAUUCAGGCGGAGUUCCUUUGGACGGUGUCCGCUGGCUCCCUUGACACCUUCAAGGAGCAGUGGGUGCUGUCCGAGGUUUUCUGCUCGGUGUCCCUGUCAGGUUCCCUUUGUUUAGCCCUCUGACCUCACUCCUGUCCCUGUUUUAUCUUUAGUUGUCCCCCGUACUCACUUGGAAUCCUGGACCUGUGGAUACUCCCCAUAGGCUGGGGGGAGGUUCUUUAGUAGUUGGCAGGCUCUGCCCGCCCACUUCCUGGAUCCCAAUAGGAUCAAUGCAGGAUAGGGAUUCCCCACAUAUUCCCUGUCCUAUGCAGCACUGGGCACUCUGCACUUACACAUUGCUCUGCACCUCUGCUGCACAGGGACAAGUCCAAGAAAAUCUUGUUGCAAGGUGGGAAGCGCCAGUGUUCUUAAAGCUCUGAUGCCCAGAGCAGUACAAAGCGUGGUUCUCCUGCCUGGUGGUGGGGUCUGUCUUCUGGGACAGUUCCAAAAAAGAGGCUGGAGAUGGGUGUACAAACCCCUCAUGGGGCUAUUUUCAUUUGAAGCCUUGAUCUCAUGUAUUUGGGAAAUUUGCAGUAGGGUCUGUGACUGGGAUUUUAAAUUGAAUUUGGGCGUAGAGGGCUUGCAGCCUUGUAUCUGCAGCUUGGCAGCCUAGACUAGAAGAGGGUGAAGGAAUGGCAUGGGGGAGGGAGGUUGGGGGCAUGAUGCUUAAGAACCUGGUUACUUCAAAUGGGCUACAGAAUUGGAGCAAGCAACAAUUACUAAUGGUUAAAUUGUGAACUUCUGUAUUGGCCUCACAUUACAACCAUACUUACGAAUGUGCGUGUCAGGAAAUGCAUAAGUUAAACUGUGGUUCCACGCUGCCAGGUGGCCUGGUGGAGGGUUCAUGGUUGUCAUGUCUUUGUCAGGUCCGUACCGAAUGUGCUCACUUUGCAACUAAAAUGUUUUUUUCUAACUGCCGGUUCAGCAAACUGCAUUUGGGUUCUUUCUUUCUCACAUGACAUCCCUAAAGAAAGGUGCUGCAGGCCCAAUGCUGCGAUCCCUGUGUAACCCCACUGUGACCUGUGGGUUUGCACAGGGGUAGCAGAUUGGCCUCCUCUGUGAGAGAGUGGGAAGCUGGCAGAGUGAUUUUGGUGAGGGUCCCUCACCUUUGGGGCUCACGCCUCCACGUUUAGGAUAGACCUUAUUUAUUGACCCAGCAGAGCUCUUUUUGUUUUUCCUCUCUGGGAGGCACUGGGAGUACUCUGAUGGGAAAUGGAGUGGUUGUAUGUUAAUUGUGGGGCAAAGAGGGGCCUAUUUUUAAAAUGUGCCAGUGAGUACCUAAAGCAAAGGCCAGAUGGCUCCUUUUCAUGGAAGGAAAUUGAUUGAUUAAUUUCAAUGGAGUAAAGGGUUCAAUUGGUGAAAGGACUAGAAGCCAGCUCCUCUGGGAUAGCUGUCUUGGCUCUGCAGGGAUCAUAGGAACAUAAAGCUGAACAUGCAUGUGUAUGUGUGCGUGUGUGGUGUUUUUUGCAGUUGAAAUAAUCAGCUCUGACUCUGCUACCCACUCUGUGGGGUGAGAAGGGGCUAUCUGUACUUAGUUGCUUUUCAGAGCCGAAACACACUCCUAACAGUGGUCUAUCCAAGAGCUGUACAGUGUGUCUUUACUUAUUCCAGCGAGAACUGCCUUGUGACCACACACAAAUCAUCUUCUAUUAAUGCACCUCGCCACUUACAUGGAAUGGCUUUGCAGCUGGAAGCUCUUUUUCAGUGGGAGUUAAAUUGACUUAAUGGCAGUGUGAAUGCUUCACCCUCCAGUAUAACUAUGCCAGUACUGUUAGUCCUUUCACUGCUAUCCCAUCCAGCAUCAAUUCACAUCUGAAGUUAGCAGUGUGUUUAGUUUUCUGUGUUCCACUGCUCUUGAGACAUUUGGACCAAAUGUCCCCUUCUCUUUAAAUGCUAUGUGCAGAUGUCCAGGGAUCUCUAUUUGUGACUUGCUUUCAUUACAAGUACAUGGAAUCUGAAGCCAUCACAAUCAUCUUGUGUUAGCGUCCCAUAGCAGUGUCAACUAGCUCAUAUUACCAUGCUGUAUUAUAGUGGGUGCAGGUAGCACCACAGUGUAUAACUGAGGCUGGCUUACAGCAUCCAUUCUAACCUUUCUUUUAUAGUUUGCUUGCACUUUGAUGUGUUGCUUUCUGAAACAAAUGCCUUUUAUGGGUAAAAUUUUCCAUGCUGGGUCUCGGCUCAGCAAUGAAAUUUUCAACAAAGAUUUUAAGCAACAUCUGUUCAGAAGUAUGUUAAGAAUUUUUUUCAUCAAACAAAAAUGCCUGCCUAGAAUUUUGAACAUGCAUGAUUCCAAAAUAGUAGAACUGAUUUUGUUCAAACUUGGCUUGUUUUGUAGAUCUCCUUGAAACUUACAAUUCAUGCCAAAUCUAAAGGCUAUGUGGAGUGCAUUAAAAUGUACUCUACAGUAGGUUUUGUAAAAAAUUCCAACUUUUUCUAUUGGAUGACAAAUAGCUGAUAUCAAUAGACCAUAUUUUUAAAUAUGAGCACAAGGAUGCUUCAGCUUUCAGCCACAAUUCUUUCUCAACCGUAAUGCUAGUUUUUUCCCCCCCAUAGAACAUGGUCCUGUUGUACUUGAAAAUGCUACACGUGUAAUACAGGGUGAGUCAGCGUUGCUGUGAGGAAACAACUGUAUUUCCUGAGUUAGGGUGUUUAAAGGUCCUGCUUUCCUGAUGUAGCCAUGUUGGCAGGCUUGGUUGAAGCAUGGUUCUAUCUUGCAGUGAGAUGACACCUUCACUGUGUCCUCAAUGGCACUGGAACCCUGUUAAGGUGCCAUUUACACUGCAUGAUAGAACCUUGUUUUGGCUGCUUGUCGGUGACAACUUUGAUGUGCGUGCAUGUGUCUGAGUGUGGCGGUAUUUCUGACAGUGUGCUGAGGUCUAGCCAAAAUCCUCUUAGCUCUGGUGAGGGCCCUGACUCAGGGUUGAGGUACUUGCUUAGUGGAAAGCUUGGAUUCCAUCAUCUCCCUGGCUCACCAGGGCCUCACAACUUCAGCUAACUAUCUGGUUCUAGUGAAAUAUUGCAACUAGCAAAACUCCUUGAAUGUUACUGAAUUUUACUGGGCAAGGACAGGGCAUGGGAAGAAUAUUCCCAAGCACGGUCUCUCCCUCUUGCCACUCCCUGGAGAUUACAUGCCUCAUUGCUCUGCUGACCUUUCAUGUUAGCAAUGUGGCAAGUAGUCAGCAUCCCCUGCCCCAAAUCUCUGCGCAGGCAGUUUCCACACCUCAUUCCCAGUGGCGGUAUCUCCAUCUAUCCUCACUGCAUGUGCCUGCUUGUGUGCGUUGCCUUUUCCCUUUCCCAAGAUUGUGUAGCCAUGUGUGUGUUUGCAGGUUUACUAACCCUUUGUUCCUAUAGCUCAAGAAGAGGUGAAAGGUAAGUGGGGAUGAAGCUGUGAUGGGUUUGGUUUCAGACUCUACUGGCUCCCUGUUCAUUUAAAGCCCCAGUUCAAAAUCACCAAUGGCCUCCCUGACCAAGCUCCCAGAGCUCGACUCUGCUGCCCUCCCAGCAUAUCUGACUUUGGCCUCUUCUCUCCCUGCCAACACUCUUCCCACUGCUGGUGAGAGAGCCUUCCCCUCUGCAGUUUCUGCUGUCUGGAAAAGCAUCCUUCCAUCCCGCUGACUUGCUACAGCUCUCCUGAUCUGUCUCCUCCCCUUGAGCUAUUAUUAUUUAACUCUGUAAAAGCUUCUGGGCUGCAGUUUGUAUGAAAGAUACUACACAAAAUAAAGCUAUGUUUGUA